CACUCCUCUCGUCUCUGCUCUUUACUUUCCCUAGUACACUGAGAAAAACAGCUCAAAUAGCUUCUUUGAUCAUGAUUUUGAGCGAUUUGAAGGCCGAUUCAGAAGAAGUAUUAGUUGAAGAAAAGAUAGAUCAAGGCAUGAUUUCAUCACUUUGUGGAGUCAUUUGGAGCUUAUGGAGUAGGAUUUGCCGUGCGAAGUGAACUACGAAGUUGGAGAUCAAGGUAAAAAAUAUCAUCUGAGUAGCAAACAAUGAGGAGAUGGUGUGAUUGAAGAAAUUGUGUUUCGAUCUUUGAUGUCCCUUUUGAGGUUGACUCCAUUGAUAUAUUACUGGUGAUAUGUUCAUGCUGACGGAUUUUUUUUGAACUAUUGUGGCGCUUAAUUUUAUUCGGAACAACAUCCAAAUUGAAGCUGAGAUUAAUGAUGGCGGCGUUGUUGCACCCAUCUAUUUUGACAAUAUAGUGAUAAUACGUUCCAUAAGUAUAAGGGAGUCCAUGAUCACCAAAUUGGGAGGUAAAGUCACUUUUAUCCGAGACAAAAUUUCGCAUUAUUCAUUAGGAAUUAACAAUCUAAAAUAAAUGGCAUCACUUGUCCAAUAGUCAACAUCCAUCAAUUCACCAUCAUAAAAUUAGACGUACAAAGGAACAAGAUACAACAUCAUUCAUCGACAUCACAUACUGAUAUGUGGACUUUACAACCAGUACCAAUAUUUCCAUGGCAUGUGCUUCUACCUUGUAACGCUGUCCUCCUAAUCUGGACCUUUGGUUCCUUCCAUUACUUGUGCUUGUCAAAGAAAUGUGCCUUUUCCAACCUGGAUCUUUCGAUCAAAUGAUUUUUUUGUCGAAAAGGACAGGUGCCCAACACAAUUGUCAAAAAGGACUACCUGUAGAUGAAAUUGACAAAAGAGACCCUCGGUCGUGGCGGCAAGCGUGGCAGACGACACGUGACACCUGCCGCUAAGGAUGGCAAUGGAUCGGGUUCGGCUCGGGUUGAAAACAUUAUGUGCCCAUCCACAAAAAAAAAUCCAUGGGCGAAAAAUUAUGUCCAUGUCCAAACCCGACGAAUAUCCAUCGGGUAUGGAUAACCAUCGGGUUGUCGCAACACAUAUACAUAAGAAGUAGCACAACAUUCACAUAAGCUCUCAAAUUCUCACAAAAUGACAAAGCACAAGUGCAUAACAUCAAAUAAGCUCUUAAAUUCUCACAAAAUGACAUAGGACAAGUGAACAUCACCAACAAAGCUCUCCGAUUCUCAUAAUGACAUAACAUCAAAUAAACCUAAGUACACAAUUCUCUGUCCUCGUAGAAUGACAUAGCAAUAACACAACAUCAUUUCUCGAUCUCGAUUUCUCAUAAAAUGGCAUAACACAAUGUCAAGCAAGCACAUGUACCACCAUAUGUAGAGAGGUAAAGUCUAGCGGCAUCUAGGGCUGCGGGAGGAGGAAGUCGAGGUGAUGGAGAUGACGCUUAAUUGCGAGUCAUUUACCGAGGAUAUAGAAGAAUGAGAAGAGGCAGAGAAGUUACGAUGAGAACUGGGGAGGGAUCGCAUAGUUUCUUUUUUACUUUUUAUAAAGGAAAAAUACAUUGAAAGAUGGGAUAGUGGGGA
This is a long non-coding RNA of Triticum dicoccoides, 1602 nucleotides long. RefSeq lists it as uncharacterized. NCBI's taxonomy places the organism in Eukaryota, Viridiplantae, Streptophyta, Magnoliopsida, Poales, Poaceae. The record is from RefSeq and is a predicted model, not a curated record. The transcript is spliced from 5 exons.